CUAAGCUUCGUAGCCCUCGAAAUACAGGGAGUGCCCCCUCUGGACCCUCGAGCCCACAGUCCAUCCACCACAGAGGUGUCUGCUGCUCAUCAGAUAGUUCCUACCAAGAAAAUGCUGUGUGAACCCAUCUGUGUGGCAAACCGGCACGGGGAGAAAGCUGACUUCCAAGGACGUCUACCAACUGUCACUUGCAAACCAGAACUUGCCUCUUUGUAGAUGAAGACUGGCAGGGCUGAAGAAAUGAUCUCAUGUUGAAAUUAAUGAUGAGCUUCAGGGUUUGCCCUAAUGAGAUGCCUGACUUUAAUAAGAGAAGAAACCAUCAGUGUUUGCAAAGCCCCCUCAGUGUGCCUCACACUCCCUCUUCAGGCACAGCAGGCAUCUUCUCUGAGUGCCAGGGCCCCGGUGACCACACACCCACAUACACGGACCACCCACUCAACCCCUCAGGGAACACUGCCACCCCCACUUGCUACAUCAACUGCCUUUUCACCUUGUUUAGAAGCAAAAGUCAACUCAGGGGCCAGGAGACCCUGGGCAUGGGGCUAGGUCUGGGCAAGGUCUCGAGUCAGGGAGAGAGGGGCAAGGAGCCAUGUGCCUGGAGUGAGGCUGUGUCCCUGCCCUGGGCAAGUCAGGGUGGCUGGAACCUGCCCUUCUGGAGUGGGCCCCUCGAACUUGUUAGAGUACUUAUAACCUCCUGUCUGCACCCAGAAAACCCGCCCAGGAAGCAUUUCAUGUGGUGAAGAGAGAUUCCAAACUGGAACUUGGAGGCUCGUUCCCAGCCCCUCUCUGACGCCGAUUUCUUGAGUUGAUUUUGCCUGUGCAUUGAGCAGUUGGGGCUACAUAAGGUUUACAGGAUUCUAAAAAAUUAUCAUGACAUAUGUCAGGCAUACCAAAAGUGUAAUGAGUCAUAGAAUAAACACCUAGGCACACCCCUACUCAGCUGAAGAAGUAAAACAGUAUCAAGGUAGUGGAAAUCCCUCCUGCAUCCCUCUUCCCCCUCCCCAGUCUCCCACAACCCUUCCCCACCCCACUCGCAGUGGGGAGAAGCAUGGCCCUCAGCUCUCUUUAU
Molecule: long non-coding RNA, 1069 nt
Filed under: Homo sapiens (human)
Lineage: Eukaryota; Metazoa; Chordata; Mammalia; Primates; Hominidae
Description: long non-coding RNA NONHSAT159337.1
Source: RNAcentral